ACGUUUGAUUUCAUUUAAUCAGGAACGCGCCUUUUUUUCCCUAAUUGGCUGUAGAUGCUUAAAGACAGAGGCUGAAGAUUACAUGCGUAUUGGUGGUACAAAGAAGUAAACACAAGUUCUACAGCAAACUCACAAGAUGUCUGCAAAUAUUAGUACCUACCAACUUUUAAUAUUAUGAAUAUUAGUUAGUAACAUUCUUUUCGGCAAAUAUCACAGCUUGCGAUGGCUUUUUCUAGCCAGCUAGUGAUGUCUUAUUGUUAUAUUGAUCUAAUAUUUCUUGUAGAACAUUUCUAGUUCUGAGAUAUUGUUGGACCAUCUUGCAUGCACACCAUGUUUAACAUCUACCUACAUACAUUUCAGCUUGCAUUUGUUCAAGCAAUUUAUGGUGGGGUUUAAAGUAUGUUGGUAAACAAAGUAAAACAAUAUCCUGUUUUAGACUUUUCAGCUUCAGUGUCCUGACUUAUGAACAAUUUUUUUGCAUAUACUUAAUUAAACAACAUGUUAUUUCAUCUACCUAUGCAUCUUCAGGCUUAACCAUUGUUGGAUAUUCUCUCUGUAAACACUACCCCCUUUUUUUCUUUUGGUGAUUGUGGAAAGAGUUACUUCAUUAGCACCUGUUUCUAAAAUGUCUCCAUGUUGUCUUUUAUACUUUUUAACACAGACACAUUUACAU
Molecule: long non-coding RNA, 673 nt
Organism: Silurus meridionalis
Lineage: Eukaryota; Metazoa; Chordata; Actinopteri; Siluriformes; Siluridae
Exons: 2
Source: RefSeq, a predicted model, not a curated record